UUCUUUAUAGUUUAAUGGUUAAAAAAACAUUUGGCUGUUAACCAAAAAAUAUUGGUUCAAUUCCAUUUAAAGAAG
Molecule: transfer RNA, 75 nt
Filed under: Babesia rodhaini
Lineage: Eukaryota; Apicomplexa; Aconoidasida; Piroplasmida; Babesiidae
Description: tRNA-Asn
Rfam family: tRNA
About the family: Transfer RNA (tRNA) molecules are approximately 80 nucleotides in length. Their secondary structure includes four short double-helical elements and three loops (D, anti-codon, and T loops).
Source: RNAcentral